GGGGCUGUGGCGCAGCGGGAGCGCGUCUCCUUGGCGUGGAGAAGGUCGAGGGUUCGAAUCCCUCCAGCUCCA
RNAcentral lists this transfer RNA (72 nucleotides) under bacterium. RNAcentral's name for it is "tRNA-Ala". It matches the Rfam family "tRNA". From Rfam's summary of the family: Transfer RNA (tRNA) molecules are approximately 80 nucleotides in length. Their secondary structure includes four short double-helical elements and three loops (D, anti-codon, and T loops). RNAcentral also lists the same sequence under 1 other name. The record is from RNAcentral.